This 290-nucleotide ribosomal RNA is filed under the name uncultured bacterium. RNAcentral's name for it is "partial 16S ribosomal RNA". It matches the Rfam family "Bacterial small subunit ribosomal RNA", at positions 505 to 796 of the family's 1533-position model. The record is from RNAcentral.
GUGCAGCGCCGCGGUAAUACGGAGGGUGCAAGCGUUGUCCGGAAUCACUGGGCGUAAAGGGUGUGCAGGUGGGGCAGCAAGUCAGAGGUGAAAGCCCGCGGCUUAACCGCGGACGUGCCUUUGAAACUGCUGCUCUUGAGUCCCGGAGAGGUUGCCGGAAUUCGUGGUGUAGCGGUGAAAUGCGUAGAUAUCACGAGGAACACCAGAGGCGAAAGCGGGCAACUGGACGGGUACUGACACUGAGGCACGAAAGCGUGGGGAGCAAACAGGAUUAGAUACCCCAGUAGUCC